UACGUAGGGUGUGAGCGUUGUCCGGAAUUACUGGGCGUAAAGAGCUCGUAGGUGGUUUGUCGCGUUGUCCGUGAAAACUCACAACUCAAUUGUGGGCGUGCGGGCGAUACGGGCAGACUGGAGUACUGCAGGGGAGACUGGAAUUCCUGGUGUAGCGGUGGAAUGCGCAGAUAUCAGGAGGAACACCGGUGGCGAAGGCGGGUCUCUGGGCAGUAACUGACGCUGAGGAGCGAAAGCGUGGGGAGCAAACAGG
RNAcentral lists this ribosomal RNA (253 nucleotides) under uncultured bacterium. RNAcentral's name for it is "partial 16S ribosomal RNA". It matches the Rfam family "Bacterial small subunit ribosomal RNA", at positions 524 to 776 of the family's 1533-position model. The record is from RNAcentral.